GGGAAACGGGAAGCGCGGCGCCGACCGCAGAACAACCGGA
This is a regulatory RNA element of 40 nucleotides. It matches the Rfam family "Putative RNA-dependent RNA polymerase ribosomal frameshift site". The record is from Rfam.